This 750-nucleotide ribosomal RNA is filed under the name uncultured euryarchaeote. Its description in RNAcentral is "bacterial SSU rRNA". It matches the Rfam family "Archaeal small subunit ribosomal RNA", at positions 540 to 1286 of the family's 1478-position model. The record is from RNAcentral. Lineage: Archaea; Methanobacteriati; Methanobacteriota.
CGUCGGGAAAUCCACUGGCUCAACCAGUGGGCGUCCGGCGGAAACCGCUCGGCUUGGGACCGAGAGACCAGAGGGGUACGUCCGGGGUAGGAGUGAAAUCCCGUAAUCCUGGACGGACCGCCGAUGGCGAAAGCACCUCGAGAAGACGGAUCCGACAGUGAGGGACGAAAGCUGGGGUCUCGAACCGGAUUAGAUACCCGGGUAGUCCCAGCCGUAAACAAUGCCUGUUAGGUGCGGCACCGACUACGAGUCGGUGCUGUGCCGUAGGGAAGCCGAUAAACAGGCCGCCUGGGAAGUACGUCCGCAAGGAUGAAACUUAAAGGAAUUGGCGGGGGAGCACUACAACCGGAGGAGCCUGCGGUUUAAUUGGACUCAACGCCGGACAUCUCACCAGCAUCGACUGUAGCAAUGAUCAUCAGGUUGAUGACCUCUAUGUUGAGCUACAGAGAGGAGGUGCAUGGCCGCCGUCAGCUCGUACCGUGAGGCGUCCUGUUAAGUCAGGCAACGAGCGAGACCCGCACCUCUAGUUGCCAGCAGCAUCUCGCGAUGGCUGGGUACACUAGGGGGACUGCCGCUGCCAAAGCGGAGGAAGGAACGGGCAACGGUAGGUCAGUAUGCCCCGAAUGAGCUGGGCCACACGCGGGCUACAAUGGCCGGGACAGUGGGACGCUACCCCGAGAGGGGACGCUAAUCUCCUAAACCCGGUCGUAGUUCGGAUUGAGGGCUGAAACUCGCCCUCAUGAAGCUGGA